Molecule: ribosomal RNA, 253 nt
Filed under: uncultured bacterium
Lineage: Bacteria
Description: partial 16S ribosomal RNA
Rfam family: Bacterial small subunit ribosomal RNA
Source: RNAcentral
UACGAAGGGGGCUAGCGUUGCUCGGAAUCAUUGGGCGUAAAGGGUGCGUAGGUGGCGCGGUAAGUCGGGUGUGAAAUUUCGGAGCUUAACUCCGAAACUGCAUUCGAUACUGCCGUGCUUGAGGACUGGAGAGGAGACUGGAAUUUACGGUGUAGCAGUGAAAUGCGUAGAGAUCGUAAGGAAGACCAGUGGCGAAGGCGGGUCUCUGGACAGUUCCUGACACUGAGGCACGAAGGCCAGGGGAGCAAACGGG